This 142-nucleotide ribosomal RNA is filed under the name uncultured bacterium. Its description in RNAcentral is "partial 16S rRNA". It matches the Rfam family "Bacterial small subunit ribosomal RNA", at positions 354 to 511 of the family's 1533-position model. The record is from RNAcentral.
GUGGGGAAUUUUCCGCAAUGGGCGAAAGCCUGACGGAGCAAUGCCGCGUGGAGGUGGAAGGCCUACGGGUCGUCAACUUCUUUUCUCGGAGAAGAAACAAUGACGGUAUCUGAGGAAUAAGCAUCGGCUAACUCUGUGCCAA